CCGAGCCUCCCGCCCUCGCCGCUCCCGCGCCCGGGGCAGGAAGGCGCGCCGGGCAGCUGGGUGGCCUCGGGCACCCGGCUCGUCAUCCCGCUGGCCUUCCGCUCAUUUAUUCCCACACUUUGGGAAAGCCUCCUGGGUGCCAGGCGCUCUUCCAGGCGCUGGGCCACAGCCUGCCAAGCCCUUGCCCCGCCGAGCAGUCUGCAGGGGCCGGGGUGCGGGGCUGGGGACGUGCGCACAGGCAGGUCACUUCGGACGGUGUAAAGAGCCUGGUGACGGCCAGGGUGACGGCGGUGGGGGUGGCAUCACGCACCUGAGAGUAGGAGAAACCGAGGCAGCGGCCAAAGGUGCCCUCUCAGUGACUUGAUUUUUACACACAAAGUCCUGCUUGGAAAGGUACAUGAGUUCCUUUUCCCAUCACAUGAGUGAGUGACACACCCUCCGUCCAGACCACGAACCCUGUGAGGGUGGAACCCGGCAGGCACUGGAGAAGCAUCUGUGCUGUCCCCGAGCCCAUCCCCUCUGAGGCAGAUGGGGAUGGACUCCUGUACCCAUUUCACAGGAAGGAAAACAGAGGCCUAGGGAAGGGAGGUGGCCACCCCAGGGCCACACGGCAGGCCAGCGAUGGAACAGGGUUUGAAUCCAGGCCUGAGCCCUCGAAGUCCGGGAUGUUUCCUUGGCGACCGCGCUUCAGGAUCUUGUGCUCCAGCCUGCUCGCUGCAGGGGACAGGUCUGCACUCGGCCAUUCUAGAAAUGCCGAAAGUGAGAGGCCAGCCGUGCCGCAGGGAGGGGGCACAGGACAGCGAGCGGGGCUGGGGCUCUGGGAAACCAUGUGCCACAGGCCUUUGAAAUGGAGUUGAAAAGAAGACCUGAUUUAUAAAUAGAGAAGAAUCUCGACUA
Equus caballus (horse) is the source of this 897-nucleotide long non-coding RNA. RefSeq lists it as uncharacterized. NCBI's taxonomy places the organism in Eukaryota, Metazoa, Chordata, Mammalia, Perissodactyla, Equidae. The record is from RefSeq and is a predicted model, not a curated record.